Molecule: ribosomal RNA, 253 nt
Filed under: uncultured bacterium
Lineage: Bacteria
Description: partial 16S ribosomal RNA
Rfam family: Bacterial small subunit ribosomal RNA
Source: RNAcentral
GACGGAGGGUGCAAGCGUUGUUCGGAAUUACUGGGCGUAAAGCGUACGUAGGCGGCGGGUUAAGUCGAAUGUUAAAGCCUGGAGCUCAACUCCAGAGAUGCAUUCGAUACUGGCUUGCUAGAGGUUGAUAGAGGAAAGCGGAAUUCCGAGUGUAGCGGUGAAAUGCGUAGAUAUUCGGAGGAACAUCAGUAGCGAAGGCGGCUUUCUGGGUCACACCUGACGCUGAGGUACGAAAGCGUGGGGAGCAAACGGG